This 492-nucleotide ribosomal RNA is filed under the name uncultured bacterium. Its description in RNAcentral is "partial 16S ribosomal RNA". It matches the Rfam family "Bacterial small subunit ribosomal RNA", at positions 29 to 507 of the family's 1533-position model. The record is from RNAcentral.
AGUGAACGCUGGCGGUAGGCCUAACACAUGCAAGUCGAACGGCAGCACAGUAAGAGCUUGCUCUUACGGGUGGCGAGUGGCGGACGGGUGAGGAAUACAUCGGAAUCUACUUUUUCGUGGGGGAUAACGUAGGGAAACUUACGCUAAUACCGCAUACGGCCUACGGGUGAAAGCAGGGGAUCUUCGGACCUUGCGCGAUUGUAUGAGCCGAUUUCGGAUUAGCUAGUUGGCGGGGUAAAGGACCACCAAGGCGACGAUCCGUAGCGGGUCUGAGAGGAUGAUCAGCCACACUAGAACUGAGACACGGUCAAGACUCCUACGGGAGGAAGCAGUGGAGAAUAUUGGACAAUGGGCGCAAACCUGACCCAGCCAUGCCGCGUGGGUGAAGAAGGCCUUCGGGUUGUAAGGCCCUUUUGUUGGGAAAGAAAAGCAGCAGGUUAAGACCCCGCUGUUCUGACGGUACCCAAAGAAUAAGCACCGGCUAACUUCGUG